RNAcentral lists this ribosomal RNA (255 nucleotides) under uncultured bacterium. RNAcentral's name for it is "partial 16S ribosomal RNA". It matches the Rfam family "Bacterial small subunit ribosomal RNA", at positions 74 to 334 of the family's 1533-position model. The record is from RNAcentral.
CAAACCAAAGCUGGCGACCGGCGCACGGGUGAGUAACACGUAUCCAACCUGCCUCAUACUCGGGGAUAGCCCUUCGAAAGAAAGAUUAAUAUCCGAUAGCAUAUAUUUCCCGCAUGGGUUUUAUAUUAAAGAAAUUCGGUAUGAGAUGGGGAUGCGUUCCAUUAGUUUGUUGGGGGGGUAACGGCCCACCAAGACUACGAUGGAUAGGGGUUCUGAGAGGAAGGUCCCCCACAUUGGAACUGAGACACGGUCCAA